This 440-nucleotide ribosomal RNA is filed under the name uncultured bacterium. Its description in RNAcentral is "partial 16S ribosomal RNA". It matches the Rfam family "Bacterial small subunit ribosomal RNA", at positions 338 to 795 of the family's 1533-position model. The record is from RNAcentral.
CCUACGGGUGGCAGCAGUAGGGAAUAUUGCUCAAUGGGGGAAACCCUGAAGCAGCAACGCCGCGUGCAGGAUGACGGUUUUCCGAUUUUAAACUUCUUUUUUUAGAGAAGUAAAUUACGGUAUGUAACGACUAUUCAACGUCUAACUCCGUUCCAGCAGCCUCGGUACUACGGCGGGUGCCAGCGUUACUCGGAAUCACUGGGCGUAAAGAGCGCGUAGGCGGGUUAGCAAGUCAGAUGUGAAAUCCUAGUGCUUAACCAUAGAACUGCAGUUGAUACUGUUAUUCUAGAGUUUGGGAGAGGUAGGUGGAAUGCGUGGUGUAGGGGUAAAAUGCGUAGAGAUCACGAGGAACACCGAUUGCGAAGGCGACUUGCUAGAACGUAACUGACGCUGAUGCGCGAAAGCGUGGGGAGCAAACAGGAUUAGAUACCCCGGUAGUC